GCAGAGAGGAGUGGAGGAAGAGAGGAGUGGAGGCAGAGAGGAGUGGAGGCAGAGAGGUGUGGAGGAAGAGAGGAGUGGAGGCAGAGAGGAGUGGAGGAAGAGAGGAGUGGAGGAAGAGAGGAGUGGAGGCAGAGAGGAGUGGAGGAAGAGAGGAGUGGAGGCAGAGAGGAGUGGAGGAAGAGAGGAGUGGAGGAAGAGAGGAGUGGAGUUAGAGAGGAGUGGAGGCAGAGAUGAGUGGAGGAAGAGAGGAGUGGAGGAAGAGAGGAGUGGAGGCAGAGAGGUGUGGAGGCAGAGAGGAGUGGAGGAAGGGCGGAGUGGAGGCAGAGAGGAGUGGAGGAAGGGAGGAGUGGAGGCAGAGAGGAGUGGAGGAAGAGAGGAGUGGAGGCAGAGAGGAGUGGAGGAAGAGAGGAGUGGAGGAAGGGCGGAGUGGAGGCAGAGAGGAGUGGAGGUAGAGGAGUGGAGGGAGAGAGGAGUGGAGGCAGAGAGGAGUGGAGGUAGAGGAGUGGAGGCAGAGAGGGGUGGAGGCAGAGAGGGGUGACAUGUGUCUGGGAAAAGGAGUAAUACACACAUUGAGGUGAUCAGUGAGGUGUGUAGUGGGAAAAGGGGUAAUACACACAUUGAGGUGAUCAGUGAGGUGUGUAGUGGGAAAAGGGGUAAUACACACAUUGAGGUGAUCAGUGAGGUGUGUAGUGGGAAAAGGGGUAAUACACACAUUGAGGUGAUCAGUGAGGUGUGUAGUGGGAAAAGGGGUAAUACACACAUUGAGGUGAUCAGUGAGGUGUGUAGUGGGAUAGAGAGAGGAGCUGUGACAUGGUAAAUACCUUCUGGAAAACUGAGAGACUCUAAAGGUUCCGUUCUGCAAGGCUCAGGACAGGUAGUGAUGGAGGGGGAACAGUCAGACCAGGGCUUGAACCGGAGACCCUGGGUUACAGGGCAGGCAUUCUGCCAUAAAGGUCCAGACCUCUUGGCAGAGGGCGUAGUGUGCUCACAUACAAGGAGACAACCCAACAUAGACCAGGGGCUGAUACAGUGGAUUGAUUCAUCAGUGUCAAACCAAACGUGUGGCUUAGUUAGAAAUGGACUCUUUGGUUCA
RNAcentral lists this long non-coding RNA (1093 nucleotides) under Salmo salar (Atlantic salmon). RNAcentral describes it as "lncRNA (ENSSSAG00000086247.1)". The record is from RNAcentral. Lineage: Eukaryota; Metazoa; Chordata; Actinopteri; Salmoniformes; Salmonidae.